Molecule: ribosomal RNA, 2371 nt
Filed under: Campylobacter jejuni
Lineage: Bacteria; Pseudomonadati; Campylobacterota; Epsilonproteobacteria; Campylobacterales; Campylobacteraceae
Description: partial 23S ribosomal RNA
Rfam family: Bacterial large subunit ribosomal RNA
Source: RNAcentral
UUUUGCAUAAUGAGCCUGCGAGUUGUGGUGUCUGGCAAGGUUAAGCAAACGCGAAGCCGUAGCGAAAGCGAGUCUGAAUAGGGCGCUUAGUCAGAUGCUGCAGACCCGAAACGAAGUGAUCUAUCCAUGAGCAAGUUGAAGCUAGUGUAAGAACUAGUGGAGGACUGAACCCAUAGGCGUUGAAAAGCCCCGGGAUGACUUGUGGAUAGGGGUGAAAGGCCAAUCAAACUUCGUGAUAGCUGGUUCUCUCCGAAAUAUAUUUAGGUAUAGCGUUGUGUCGUAAUAUAAGGGGGUAGAGCACUGAAUGGGCUAGGGCAUACACCAAUGUACCAAACCCUAUCAAACUCCGAAUACCUUAUAUGUAAUCACAGCAGUCAGGCGGCGAGUGAUAAAAUCCGUCGUCAAGAGGGAAACAACCCAGACUACCAGCUAAGGUCCCUAAAUCUUACUUAAGUGGAAAACGAUGUGAAGUUACUUAAACAACCAGGAGGUUGGCUUAGAAGCAGCCAUCCUUUAAAGAAAGCGUAAUAGCUCACUGGUCUAGUGAUUUUGCGCGGAAAAUAUAACGGGGCUAAAGUAAGUACCGAAGCUGUAGACUUGCACACAACUUAGAUUAUUUAAGUUUAGAAUAAGUAGUUUAAGUUGUGUGCAAGUGGUAGGAGAGCGUUCUAUUUGCGUCGAAGGUAUACCGGUAAGGAGUGCUGGAGCGAAUAGAAGUGAGCAUGCAGGCAUGAGUAGCGAUAAUUAAUGUGAGAAUCAUUAACGCCGUAAACCCAAGGUUUCCUACGCGAUGCUCGUCAUCGUAGGGUUAGUCGGGUCCUAAGUCGAGUCCGAAAGGGGUAGACGAUGGCAAAUUGGUUAAUAUUCCAAUACCAACAUUAGUGUGCGAUGGAAGGACGCUUAGGGCUAAGGGGGCUAGCGGAUGGAAGUGCUAGUCUAAGGUCGUAGGAGGUUAUACAGGCAAAUCCGUAUAACAAUACUCCGAGAACUGAAAGGCUUUUUGAAGUCUUCGGAUGGAUAGAAGAACCCCUGAUGCCGUCGAGCCAAGAAAAGUUUCUAAGUUUAGCUAAUGUUGCCCGUACCGUAAACCGACACAGGUGGGUGGGAUGAGUAUUCUAAGGCGCGUGGAAGAACUCUCUUUAAGGAACUCUGCAAAAUAGCACCGUAUCUUCGGUAUAAGGUGUGGUUAGCUUCGUAUUAGGAUUUACUCCGAAAGCGAAGAAACUUACAACAAAGAGUCCCUCCCGACUGUUUACCAAAAACACAGCACUCUGCUAACUCGUAAGAGGAUGUAUAGGGUGUGACGCCUGCCCGGUGCUCGAAGGUUAAUUGAUGGGGUUAGCAUUAGCGAAGCUCUUGAUCGAAGCCCGAGUAAACGGCGGCCGUAACUAUAACGGUCCUAAGGUAGCGAAAUUCCUUGUCGGUUAAAUACCGACCUGCAUGAAUGGCGUAACGAGAUGGGAGCUGUCUCAAAGAGGGAUCCAGUGAAAUUGUAGUGGAGGUGAAAAUUCCUCCUACCCGCGGCAAGACGGAAAGACCCCGUGGACCUUUACUACAGCUUGACACUGCUACUUGGAUAAGAAUGUGCAGGAUAGGUGGGAGGCUUUGAGUAUAUGACGCCAGUUGUAUAUGAGCCAUUGUUGAGAUACCACUCUUUCUUAUUUGGGUAGCUAACCAGCUUGAGUUAUCCUCAAGUGGGACAAUGUCUGGUGGGUAGUUUGACUGGGGCGGUCGCCUCCCAAAUAAUAACGGAGGCUUACAAAGGUUGGCUCAGAACGGUUGGAAAUCGUUCGUAGAGUAUAAAGGUAUAAGCCAGCUUAACUGCAAGACAUACAAGUCAAGCAGAGACGAAAGUCGGUCUUAGUGAUCCGGUGGUUCUGUGUGGAAGGGCCAUCGCUCAAAGGAUAAAAGGUACCCCGGGGAUAACAGGCUGAUCUCCCCCAAGAGCUCACAUCGACGGGGAGGUUUGGCACCUCGAUGUCGGCUCAUCGCAUCCUGGGGCUGGAGCAGGUCCCAAGGGUAUGGCUGUUCGCCAUUUAAAGCGGUACGCGAGCUGGGUUCAGAACGUCGUGAGACAGUUCGGUCCCUAUCUGCCGUGGGCGUAAGAAGAUUGAAGAGAUUUGACCCUAGUACGAGAGGACCGGGUUGAACAAACCACUGGUGUAGCUGUUGUUCUGCCAAGAGCAUCGCAGCGUAGCUAAGUUUGGAAAGGAUAAACGCUGAAAGCAUCUAAGCGUGAAGCCAACUCUAAGAUGAAUCUUCUCUAAGCUCUCUAGAAGACUACUAGUUUGAUAGGCUGGGUGUGUAAUGGAUGAAAGUCCUUUAGCUGACCAGUACUAAUAGAGCGUUUGGCUUAUCUUUAAUAAAGCAU